AUUGAACGCUGGCGGCAGGCCUAACACAUGCAAGUCGAGCGAGCGGCGGACGGGUGAGUAAUGUAUGGGGACUGCCCGAUAGAGGGGGAUAACUACUGGAAACGGUGGCUAAUACCGCAUACUCUCGGCUACCCCAUAGGGGAUUAGCUCGUAGGUGGGGUAAAGGCUCCCCUAGGCGACGCUCUCUAGCUGGUCUGAGAGGAUGCUAGGCCACAUGGGGACGUAGACACGGCCAAGACUCCUACGGAGGCAGCAGAGGGGAAUAUGGCACAAUGGGCGGAAGCCUGAUGCAGCCAUGCCGCGUGUAUGAAGAAGGCCGUAGGGUUGUAAAGUACUUUCAGCGGGGAGGCGUUACCCGCAGAAGAAGCACCGGCUAACUCCGGGCCAGCAGCCGCGGUAAUUC
This 403-nucleotide ribosomal RNA is filed under the name uncultured bacterium. RNAcentral's name for it is "partial 16S ribosomal RNA". It matches the Rfam family "Bacterial small subunit ribosomal RNA", at positions 29 to 526 of the family's 1533-position model. The record is from RNAcentral.